GCCCUAAUGUCUAAAGGCUGGCCUUAAUCUGUUGAGCCUAAAGGCUGGCCCAUAGGGUGCAGAGGCCCUAAAGCUGUUAGGGUUUCCCUUUCAGCCUCACUUUGCAAUCUGAAUCUAAACACUGCCUCCCUUUCCAUUCCAGAGCUCUGCUAGGGUUAGCCGUCAACCCCCAAGGGAACUCCGACCAGAACUCCACUUCACCUCACUAAUCCACUCUAGGCGUCGUUGCGUUCGCUGUUGGUGCCUAGGGAUCCAACUACUAGCUGGUUUUCCAGAUGCGAGGGACAAUCGUGGUCAUCAGGCAAGAGGCGAUUCUGCAGCUUAGCUUUCUUGGAAUAUCUUGAGGGCUACGACCUAUGUAUUUGUCAGUCUUUUCUUAUGCUUGUGUUUCCAACAGACUAUUUAUGAUGCUCUUUUAUUUUCGGUGGCACUGUGGUGUGCCUUAGUUGUAAGGUCUUAUGUUUAAACUCCAGAAAUGCGCUGUUAUAUUAUAAUCAUGUGACGUUUUCUUUUAA
Vigna unguiculata (cowpea) is the source of this 515-nucleotide long non-coding RNA. RefSeq lists it as uncharacterized. Lineage: Eukaryota; Viridiplantae; Streptophyta; Magnoliopsida; Fabales; Fabaceae. The record is from RefSeq and is a predicted model, not a curated record.